This 807-nucleotide ribosomal RNA is filed under the name Streptomyces sp. Its description in RNAcentral is "bacterial SSU rRNA". It matches the Rfam family "Bacterial small subunit ribosomal RNA", at positions 63 to 883 of the family's 1533-position model. Lineage: Bacteria; Bacillati; Actinomycetota; Actinomycetes; Kitasatosporales; Streptomycetaceae. The record is from RNAcentral.
CGAACGAUGAACCUCCUUCGGGAGGGGAUUAGUGGCGAACGGGUGAGUAACACGUGGGCAAUCUGCCCUGCACUCUGGGACAAGCCCUGGAAACGGGGUCUAAUACCGGAUACGAGUUUCACAGGCAUCUGUGAUUCUGGAAAGCUCCGGCGGUGCAGGAUGAGCCCGCGGCCUAUCAGCUUGUUGGUGAGGUAACGGCUCACCAAGGCGACGACGGGUAGCCGGCCUGAGAGGGCGACCGGCCACACUGGGACUGAGACACGGCCCAGACUCCUACGGGAGGCAGCAGUGGGGAAUAUUGCACAAUGGGCGCAAGCCUGAUGCAGCGACGCCGCGUGAGGGAUGACGGCCUUCGGGUUGUAAACCUCUUUCAGCAGGGAAGAAGCGAAAGUGACGGUACCUGCAGAAGAAGCGCCGGCUAACUACGUGCCAGCAGCCGCGGUAAUACGUAGGGCGCAAGCGUUGUCCGGAAUUAUUGGGCGUAAAGAGCUCGUAGGCGGCUUGUCGCGUCGGAUGUGAAAGCCCGGGGCUUAACCCCGGGUCUGCAUUCGAUACGGGCAGGCUAGAGUUCGGUAGGGGAGAUCGGAAUUCCUGGUGUAGCGGUGAAAUGCGCAGAUAUCAGGAGGAACACCGGUGGCGAAGGCGGAUCUCUGGGCCGAUACUGACGCUGAGGAGCGAAAGCGUGGGGAGCGAACAGGAUUAGAUACCCUGGUAGUCCACGCCGUAAACGGUGGGCACUAGGUGUGGGCAACAUUCCACGUUGUCCGUGCCGCAGCUAACGCAUUAAGUGCCCCGCCUGGGGAGUAC